GAUGAACGCUGGCGGCGUGCUUAACACAUGCAAGUCGAACGAAGCACUUAAGAUUGAUUCUUCGGAUGACGUCUUUUGUGACUUAGUGGCGGACGGGUGAGUAACGCGUGGGUAACCUGCCUCACACAGGGGGAUAACAGUUAGAAAUGACUGCUAAUACCGCAUAACCCGAUAGGAUCGCAUGAUCCAGACGGAAAAGAUUUAUCGGUGUGAGAUGGACCCGCGUCUGAUUAGCUAGUUGGUGAGGUAACGGCCCACCAAGGCGACGAUCAGUAGCCGGCCUGAGAGGGUGAACGGCCACAGUGGGACUGAGACACGGCCCAAACUCCUACGGGAGGCAGCAGUGGGGAAUAUUGCACAAUGGGGGAAACCCUGAUGCAGCGACGCCGCGUGAGUGAAGAAGUAUUUCGGUAUGUAAAGCUCUAUCAGCAGGGAAGAAAAUGACGGUACCUGACUAAGAAGCCCCGGCUAACUACGUG
This 479-nucleotide ribosomal RNA is filed under the name uncultured bacterium. Its description in RNAcentral is "partial 16S ribosomal RNA". It matches the Rfam family "Bacterial small subunit ribosomal RNA", at positions 28 to 507 of the family's 1533-position model. The record is from RNAcentral.